ACAUGAAAUAAAUCUGAAAAUUUAAAACUAGUAAAACAAAUAAUAAUCAACAAACGUAAACGUUAAGUGAAGCCACAAAUUCUAGCUUCAAUUUGCAUUUAGAACAAAAAAGGUUACCAAACACCAAAAAACAGCGUUCAAAAAACUUAAACGCCCUUUUAUCCUGUAUAAAUGAAAAUCAAAUGUGUCCAACAAUUUGUGGUUGCAAUUUUACAUACAUAAAAUUUCUUUUUCUCUUCCAGCUCCUCCAUAUUUUUCUUUUCUUUUACUCUUCUCGCACUCCUCUCUGCCUCUUCAAAAAUAUUUUGUUUUGAAACGUUAAUU
Arachis ipaensis is the source of this 324-nucleotide non-coding RNA. Lineage: Eukaryota; Viridiplantae; Streptophyta; Magnoliopsida; Fabales; Fabaceae. The record is from RefSeq and is a predicted model, not a curated record.